This 494-nucleotide ribosomal RNA is filed under the name uncultured bacterium. RNAcentral describes it as "partial 16S ribosomal RNA". It matches the Rfam family "Bacterial small subunit ribosomal RNA", at positions 28 to 523 of the family's 1533-position model. The record is from RNAcentral.
GACGAACGCUGGCGGCGUGCUUAACACAUGCAAGUCGAGCGGAAAGGCCCUUUUGGGGGUACUCGAGCGGCGAACGGGUGAGUAACACGUGAGUAAUCUGCCCUUCACUUGGGGAUAACUCCGAGAAAUCGGUGCUAAUACCCGAUAUGACAUGGGCUUGCAUGGGUGUGUGUGGAAAGUUUUUUCGGUGGGGGAUGUGCUCGCGGCCUAUCAGCUUGUUGGUGGGGUAAUGGCCUACCAAGGCUUCGACGGGUAGCCGGCCUGAGAGGGUGACCGGCCACACUGGGACUGAGACACGGCCCAGACUCCUACGGGAGGCAGCAGUAGGGAAUAUUGGACAAUGGGCGGAAGCCUGAUCCAGCAACGCCGCGUGAGGGAUGACGGCCUUCGGGUUGUAAACCUCUUUCAGCACCGACGAAGUUGUGCCUUUUUGGGUGUGGUGACGGUAGGUGCAGAAGAAGGACCGGCCAACUACGUGCCAGCCGCCGCGGUAA